Equus quagga is the source of this 9631-nucleotide RNA transcript. It is a transcript of the gene named collagen type XXV alpha 1 chain, with no coding region annotated. The record is from RefSeq and is a predicted model, not a curated record. The transcript is spliced from 37 exons. NCBI's taxonomy places the organism in Eukaryota, Metazoa, Chordata, Mammalia, Perissodactyla, Equidae.
CCGGCAGCCGCGGCUCGCGUUUGCUCCUUGGUUCUUUCGCGUCCUCCCUCUUCUCCCCGUGGCCACCGCGUUGGCGCUGCGCCCUCGCGGUCUCUCUCUGCCUUUUUGCCUGGAACGGAAUCCAGGUGGGGAACAGGUCGGCGUGCGGAAAAGCCCCGAGUAGGUAGAAAUAGGCAAACUCACCGAGACGCAACAGGUCCGGGGCUCGGUGGCGAGCGAGCGGCCGCCCCUCCAGCGCCUCGCCCGCCGUCCCCUGGACCCUGCGCGGCCGCUCUCGCGGACCUCAGAAGGAGCGUUGGUCCUCUAAGGGGCAAGGAGGGCGUCUGACGGCUUCACUGGGGUUUUUACCGAACUGCUGGCAGUCCCCGGACUGCGAGUGCUUGUCGCUCCCGGCUGGGAGGGAGAAGACAGGAGGAUGGUCCCCGCCUGCGGGGCUCGGCGCUGAGGAGAGCGGGGUCCGUCUCCGCGCCCCGGCUCCCACUCCGCCAACUAGUUGUGCAGCCACCAGCACUGAACUUCGGAGGAACCGUCCCUUUUCUUUCCUUUUGAGAUUAUUGGAAGUGGUAGAGGGUGCGAGGCGAAGUCGAGGAGCCGACCCGCCACGAUGCUGGUGAAGAAGCAUGCGGGGAAAGGAGGGGGCCGGGAGCUGGGCGUCGAGGACAGAAGCCCCGCCGAGCAGCGCUGUGCCCGGACCGUGCCCCCGUGCGCGGCCCUGACGGCCCUCCUAUCAGUGGUGGCCGUGAUGUCUUGUCUGUACCUGGGGGUGAAAACCAACGACUUGCAGGCGAGGAUCGCCGCUCUCGAAUCCGCUAAGGGAGACCCUUCCAUCCGUCUGCUGCCUGAUUGCCUGGACCAGCUGAAAGCAGUGGUGCAAGAGAAAGUGGAGCGACUUCUGGCUCAGAAGUCCUAUGAACACAUGGCUAAAAUAAGAAUUGCAAGAGAAGCUCCUUCUGACUGCAACUGCCCGGCAGGCCCUCCGGGGAAACGAGGUAAGAGGGGCCGAAGAGGAGAAUCUGGUCCUCCUGGUCAGCCUGGUCCUCAGGGUCCACCUGGUCCAAAAGGUGAUAAGGGAGAACAAGGUGAUCAGGGACCGCGGAUGGUGUUUCCUAAAAUCAAUCAUGGGUUUCUCUCUGCUGAUCAGCAGCUCAUUAAACGCCGCCUGAUUAAGGGUGACCAAGGGCAGGCUGGCCCUCCAGGACCUCCAGGCCCUCCAGGCCCAAGAGGGCCUCCUGGGGACACUGGGAAAGACGGCCCCCGUGGAAUGCCAGGAGUGCCCGGUGAACCAGGGAAACCAGGAGAACAAGGCUUGAUGGGUCCUCUGGGGCCUCCAGGACAAAAGGGUUCUGUUGGAGCACCUGGAAUUCCAGGGAUAAAUGGGCAAAAGGGUGAGCCCGGGUUGCCUGGAGCAGUAGGACAGAAUGGAAUACCGGGGCCAAAGGGAGAACCUGGAGAACAAGGAGAAAAGGGAGAUGCUGGAGAGAAUGGCCCCAAAGGUGACACAGGCGAAAAGGGUGACCCUGGAUCGUCUGCUGCAGGAAUUAAGGGAGAACCUGGAGAAUCUGGUCGUCCAGGGCAAAAGGGUGAACCAGGGCUGCCUGGCCUUCCUGGACUUCCGGGGAUAAAGGGAGAACCAGGUUUCAUUGGUCCUCAAGGGGAACCAGGCUUACCAGGGUUACCAGGAACAAAGGGUGAACGUGGGGAGGCAGGGCCUCCUGGAAGAGGCGAGCGAGGGGAGCCUGGAGCCCCCGGACCAAAGGGGAAACAAGGUGAAUCGGGAACUAGAGGCCCAAAGGGGUCAAAGGGUGAUCGUGGAGACAAAGGGGAUUCUGGAGACCUGGGACCAAGGGGUCCACCUGGUCAAAAGGGAGAUCAAGGAGCCACCGAGAUCAUAGACUACAAUGGCAACCUCCACGAAGCCUUGCAGAGGAUGACCACCCUGACCGUCACGGGUCCCCCUGGACCGCCUGGACCGCAAGGACUGCAAGGCCCAAAGGGAGAGCCAGGAUCUCCAGGAAUCCCAGGAGCCGAUGGAGAGCAGGGGCUCAAAGGCUCAAAGGGAGACGUGGGGGACCCAGGCAUGCCAGGUGAAAAAGGAGGAAUUGGACUUCCUGGAUUACCGGGUGCCAAUGGAGUGAAAGGGGAGAAAGGAGACUCCGGGCUGCCAGGUCCUCAGGGUCCUUCUAUCAUAGGCCCACCAGGCCCACCAGGUCCCCAUGGCCCACCAGGCCCCAUGGGACCCCAUGGACUUCCUGGACCAAAGGGAGCAUCUGGCUUAGACGGAAAGCCAGGAUCCCGGGGUACAGAUGGCCCUAUGGGACCCCAUGGCCCUGCGGGUCCCAAAGGAGAAAGAGGUGAAAAAGGAGCUAUGGGAGAGGCUGGACCCAGAGGGCCCUACGGUCUGCCUGGGAAAGAUGGAGAGCCUGGUCUCGAUGGCUUCCCUGGUCCACGAGGCGAGAAGGGUGAUCUAGGAGAGAAGGGAGAAAAGGGAUUCCGUGGCGUUAAGGGGGAAAAAGGGGAGCCAGGCCAGCCUGGCCUGGAUGGGCUGGAUGCCCCUUGCCAAUUGGUACAGUAUUUCUCUUUCCUACCACCCUGCAUGCAGUUCCUUUGUUUAUUACGUCUUCAUCUCGAUCAGUGUAAAGUGCUGCUUCUGGAGCGGGCUUUACAUGACGAACACAUGACAUGCAUGUGCAUGGAUGCUCCUUCAGCGCCCUGCAGUGAAGAGAGCAGGCACGCAUUUCUGCCACUGCCUGCCAACUAAUCUCCUGACACUGUUCUCACCACCGUCACGACCACCACGUCUGCGUUCUGGGGAAUAUUCACUUAAUCAAUAUUUAAAGAUUACGUUAAAAUCACAUAAAUAUCUCCCAUGUAAAGGCACAGCUAGGCCAUUACUUUGGAUUUUACUCCUAAGUUAAACUUUUUAAAAAUUUUUCUCUAAAAGAUAUAAAGGCGUUUUGCCUCUUCCGCUGAAUUUCUGUCAGGCUGUAAAUAAAAACCUAGAGAGUCAAGCCUCUGUGGUCAAGAGUUAACAAUUCAAAGGAAUGCUGUUAAGAGACCCGUAGAGAAGCAAGCCAAACUUCCCUGAGCUUCUAAAGAUGAUGAGUCUGCAGCCCAAACCCUCUUCUGUAUCACGUAACCCUCUCAAUUUAAUGGUCUCUCCUUUUGAAACUCACUCUCCUAAAGUAGACAGAACCCCUGUCUCCAUUGGCAUGAACUCAAAAUCCUCCUUAUACUAAAAUCUAAAAUUCUAUUGGGUGAUCCUUCUCCUUGUACCAAUCUGGCAUUACCGAAUUUCUUCCCAAAUAUAUUAUAAAGCUAUUUCAAAGUGUUUUCUUUUUUACAUUUAAAAAGAAAGUAUAUUCAUAUUUUCAUUUCAUAUAAAGGAAAUUUCAUAUUUCACAUGUCUUUCACAUAACGGAAAACUUUCUAUGGCUGUGUUGAUGGUUAUACUUGGUCUGCAUGUUAUAUUAUUCUUCAGUGCUAAGCAUGAUUCUUUAAAGAUGAAUUUAUGUUUCUCGAGUCUUUUAAGAGAUUAUAUUUAUAGAAAAAAUUUAUCCAGUCAAUAAUUACAAUUAGAAAAUCUCAAUAUGAAGUGCCCAGUGUUUUAUUUUGUUUGCCUGGUAUUGAUAAUAAGUAAUAUUUUACAAUCGUUUUGUUGAGGGGGAGCAUAAGCAUGCCUCGUAAUAUAGCGACUCUUCCUGCUUCAUUCGUACCAUUUGUAUCUGAAGAGAGCUCACUGUAAAUGAAAAUAAAUUUUGCAAGAUUUAGGAAUCUCUUGGUUAUUCAUAAUUUGUUAACUGGCUUCUGAAGAAUUUUAAUAGAAAAAUUGAUGAAUGCUAUGGAUAACAUUUUACUAUAAAGAUGUAAAGAGGCCUGCCUAUCUUUUAAUUCAAUUAAUUGAAUAUGUUCUACCAAAUCUGCUUUCAGUAUAGAAAGAGGAAAGAUACUGGCAUGUGAAGAGCUAUAAACUUCAGAUAGAAAUGGCUCAUCACUGAUGAUUUAUCAUUAUCGUGCCUUCAACCAUAGACCACAGUGACCAGGAAGAGAUGUUGUUUCAGUUUGUUUAGUAAAGAUAAUUGUGGAAUGUGUUUUAAUGAAAUUAAGAGGACUAGUACAGAUUUACUAUCUAAAGGUGGAACUGAGUAGACCACAAUGCUUUGUAAAUUACUAUUUCAAAGUUAGGCAUAAUUUUUUUCUAUACUUUAUGUAUUUUCAAAAGGUGUGCUCACUCUGGAAAACAUUUAAAUUUUCUUCAUUUUAACUAAUGUUGGGCAUUCUAUUGGGAGUUGAUAAUUAGAAAAAGAUGCCUAGUGGGUAGAAGUCCAUUUGUUAGGCCUCUGAGCAUGUGAAUUAUGAAGUAUGAUCACUGUCGUGGAGCCUAAGGAAUUCUUAUUCUCCUCUUUGAACCAGGGGCCAGAUGGGUUACCCAUGCCUGGCUGUUGGCAAAAGUGAUGAAUCUAACUUUCCGAGCAUGAAGUUGUGUAUAUAAUGGUCCACUUUUUAUAUUUAUAGUUGAAAACUGAAUUGCAGAUUUUACAAGUCUGAGAUAUGUUUACAUAUAGCUGCUUCCUGUUGGCAGUAGAACAUAUGUCCAUCUCUUCUUCACUUACAUCUGAAAUUGGGCAAUAUGUGAAACCAGUGAGAAGCCUGCAAAAAGUAUAGAUCAGUGUCUCUAUAUCUUAUGUGAGAUGUGUAUUGAUAAGGACAUAUCAGCAAUAGAGAAUGAUUGUUCUUGCUAUUUUCUUACUUUGGGCUUGUUAAUUGCAUGGACAAAAAGUGCCAUGAAGUAGUUUACAUGAAAUUGUGACCAAAUAUGGACUCAAAACUAUGAAAAUGUACUUACAAUACUGACCGAUUUUAGAGUCUAUCAUCACAUCCCUCCUCUCCUUCACUGUUAGCAUUGAUGCCCACACCACCCACUGAAACUGACUAAAAAGCAUGACUGUGUGCCACACCCACUCCUUGUUGUGCACCUUCAGAUGCUAGCAUGCCCUUGAUGAGUCCUGUGAUCACAUCUGAGCUCUUAUUUCUUUUGUCAUCUCAAGGGGGUUACACCAUGGCUGAUUGCCAAAAAGAGAUAAGGUGGCGGAGAGCACACACUCAAACAGUCUUGUAUUUUGAGGGAGUUGCAGUCCCCGACUGCAGAUCUACAGCUUCCGGUGUUGUGGCUCACGGGGCCACCUUGGUUGAAAUAUCAAGAGGUUCAGCUGGUUGCCACGGCCAGUUUUCCUUGGGCUGCCCUUGGCAGUGAAGACAAGGGAAGAGGACCAGGUCAGCAUCCUGCGCUGUAUCUCCUGUGACCAAGUAAGAAGGAGGAUUACGACUGCAGGCACCCAGGAGGGCAGACUUUUUUUUUUUUUUAAUAAACUGACUUCCAGCAAUGUUAAUAUGGGUGCUUUUGGAAAAUGACGGAGGCAUAUAGCACUGCUUUGGGGUAGGGGGUUCCUGGAAUGGCGGCCCCUGUUGCUGAGGACGAAGAGUAUGUACAUCCCACCAAAGCUCAGGUUGCUGAAGAAAUAACAAGUCCCAAGAAGGGCUCAGCUGAAAUAAUGUCUCCUGAAAAUGGAUGAGAACAACUCCUACAAUCUCUUCCGGAGCUGACGUGAGACCAUCCCUGCCUUCCAAGAUCCAACCCAUUUCAGACAUUUUUUACAAUGUUCUAGAAACAGAAAGAUGUUUUCCAUUCUUUUGAGUGCUUUUCCUUUUUAGUCCCAGGAAUGUUAGGAAAAGAUUUAUUUCAGUUUUCAUCACAUUUGUUUUGAACAAAUUUUUUUUAAAUCAAGUCUUCAAAUCCUAAUAACUUGGUCCCAACCAUCAAGAUGACCUUUUACUAACUCCUGUUCUGAAUGAUUGAAAAGAAUAUAAACCAAACUCCACUUUCAGUUCAGUCAUUGUAAAGCAUCAAAGUUAAGCAAUUUUUUCAGUACUUACUUUUUGACUUUUCUCAUAUGAUGACUAUAAUGCACAUAGUGAUGAUCAGUUAAGAUAAAAAUCAAGAUUUGGUUACAUUUGAUAGUAUUAAUUCAUUUCUAUUUUUUGUAGUUCUAUUUAGAUCUAAGUUUUGUCUAUAUUUAGAUUUCUUUAUCUUUUUUUACAUUUCUAAAUGUUUGUCUUAUGCACAGACCAAAUCUGAGAUCUCAGAAAGCUGUGAAAUAUAGUUGCCAUAAAGAGAGUAUUUUUUUCAUCUACUUGCUCAAAAGUUACCUAACUGUAUUAGACUGAGCAUUUUGCACAGAAAAGAGUUGGUAGGAUGUUUUCAAAUGGCUCAUUCGAAGUGGAAUGGUUGCAUUAGGAGAAACAUUAUCAGUGAGGAGCAGUCACACUUUCCGCUCAUGGGACAAUAUAAUUUCCCUCCUGACUUAAUGCCAUUUUGUGGGAAAUUUUCUAGUUUUAUGCAUAGGUUUUCACCACCAGAGGGGACAUCAGCUCAUCAUUGGCUUGCAGCAACAAUAGUUAAGAUAGAAGACAAGAAGCCUAAGACCCUAUGAUCUCUUUCAUGUUAUAUAACCGAAUGUUCAAUUAUACAAAAUGCCUUCUUAUUUCCAUUAAGUUUUCAAGAUUGGAAAGAUGUUCAAACCAUUCGAUCAAUCUAAUUAGUAACAUUUCUAGUAACAUUCCACACUCUGAAGACAAUUUAGCAUUUUUAAAACAACAGAGGGCAUUUUCUGACCAUUUCUGUUGUGACAUGGUUAAGAGAAGGUAUUGUUUAGUGUCCGAAACAACUUGUCUUAAGCAAUUUGAAGAAAUGAACUAAAGGGGGUAAAACUAGUCUCUUCAAGAAAACAAACAGUGGUGUCUUGAGAAAAAUCUGGUGGCUAUAUUUCUUCCUACCUGUCUGUCUUUCUACUCCUCUAGUAGAAAGAGGGAUGGAGAUAGAUCACUAUUUAAAACUUGCACAGCUUCAAAAGAGAAUACCUCAACAUCAAAGAGAAACAUUUUAUGGACAAAAAACAUUUUUUUGAACACAGCCCUUUAAGAAUACUGUUUUGUCAUAUGUGUAUAUUGAGUUUUUUGCUCUAUAACUGAUUUGACAACAUUGACUUUUAUUCCGUGAUUAAAGGAAGCUGUAAACUUCCGUUACAUUUAUUUCUUUGGGAAAAACAACAGGGGGAUGGUACUCCUCUUUGUUAGUGGAAUUACCAGGUCUUAACCACCAUGGAUAAUCUUAAACUUUUGGUUACUAAGAUAUGUCCAGCCAUCCAUUUUGUCAUCAAUAUAGAGAAUUCUCAAGUAAUUGAUGAAUGAACUAAUGAAUUAUGUCUGCUGAUAUAUGUGUUGGCAGAUACACAUUUUUCUUAAAGAUUUCUUUCUUUUAAUUUAUAUUAUUGGAUAGAUAGAGGAUUGAGAAAAAAAUACAUGAAAGACACAUUGGAAACCAGUCAAGAUCAGGUUCUGUUUCUGAUAAGCGUCUUUUAAGGAUGCCAAACUGAUAUGGGUUUUAGCUUUAAAAUUGUUUUCCAUUCAGGUUGGUGCUAAUGUAUUUCUUUUCCUUUUCUUUAUGGACAAUGCAACUCUACUAUAGAUAAUUUCAUUUCUCUGUUUAAUAGCAUUCCUAAACUAUUAGUGUGUGAUUUUAUUUUCAUGUAUUUGCUAUAAUGAUGGUUCCAUGACCAGUCUGUCUUGAUGUAAAACAAAACGAAACAGUGUACCUGUAGGUUGAUGUGUGUUUACCUGGAUCGUGGAUCCUCUUGUUUCGUGUUCAUUUCGUAUGCCAUAUGCUUUUCUCAAUUUUCAUUCUCAUCUGUUAGCUUAUAUAAGUUGAUUACGCAUGACAAAACCAGCAUUAGACAAGUCUGGACACAUUCAUAGAGUAUCUGACACAAGUGUGCCCAUAUUUUUCUUCUAGUUUUCAUCUUCAUUAUGAAAAGCAGUCUUGAAGGAUUUUUCUUUCUUAUUUGUUUUUAUAGAAAAAAUGAGAAUAUCUUGAAUUUUUACCAAAAAGAAAAAGUCUGUUCUUGAAUUUACUUUCUGUGCAUGAUGUUCUGAUGGCACAGUAAGAACUUACACAUCCAGUAGUUCAUUCUACAUGUCCUUUGUCUACUGUAUAUAUAUAUAUAUAUAUAUAUAUAUAUAUAAAACUCUAGGUGGGAAAACGGUCAAAUCAGCAUGUCAGUACCUAUGGAAAAUUGUCUGGUAUCUUAUAUUUUUAUCACUUAAAAAAUGUGUUUAAUUUUCCAAGGUGUUUUUUUUCUUUAAUGUUAGUAUCGUAGCAUAAAAAGUUAACACCACUUUUCAUCCUUUUUUUUCCUGCCACUGUGUAUUAUCUUACCCAGAAAUGAGUUAUGCUUGUUUGGUGGGUGGUGUUUUAAUAUCUUCUAAUGAGUGAUCAUAGGAACAUGCAGAUAUUGAUAUUUGAAACCUCGUUUUUCUCUAUUUCUUGAUAAUCAAGUUAUAUUAAUAAUUAACAUUACCAAAAAUGAACUUUUCUAAUUUCUACCAAAACAAAAAAAGAAAAAUCCUGCAGCCUCUAGAAAGUCAAGUCCAUAACAACCUUACCUUAUGUUCUCAAUAAUAAUAAUAAAGAACAAUCACAUGUUGAAAUCAUUCAUUCCUAGUGGAAUUAACAUACUUGACCAAUUAUGAUUCUGCUGAAUUAUUUUCGAAUGUAAGGACUUUCAGUCCCUACUUUUUCCCACUUUUGUUGAAAUAUCUUCAUUUUGGCUAUAUUUACUAUAUGCCAUGCCGUGGCAGAGACACUCUUCCAGCUUAAAUUUUUAGUGGAUUUUGUUUUUGCUGAUCCAAUACUGAAACAUUUUAAUGGCAUUUCUGAUUUUUUCUUUAAAUGUAUAAGAUUCCCUAUGCUGCUUAUUGACAGAACUGUUCUUUUGGAAAUAGGAAGACCUUUUCAACCUGACCUAUUAUGUUUGAUUUAUUGAUAAUUUAACAAAGUAUCAACAUUUCUCAAAAUGCAGUGGAUAUUCUCACAUAUCUCAGAAAUAUUAAGAAAUUGGAUUCACAAAGGAAUGUCUUACAUAUUGUUGACAUUUAUGUGAAUAUUCUUUAUACUGUUGUAAAUGUUUCAUGCCACUUACCAUUUUUAAAAGAUGUAUGUAUCUGAUUUUCCUUUAGAAAAUAUUAUAUUUUUAUUUGUAUUUUUUACAUUUUAAAGUUCAUCUCUAUGUGCAGCUAUUUUUAUAUUGCCAAAAAAUCACGUAAAUACAAAAGAAGAAGAAAAUGCAAAAAAAAAAUAUUUUGGCAAGCAUUACACUGCGUAUUUUUCUUAAUGUUUUAUGGGCCAGUCUCAUGUAACUGAUUAUUCUAAGAAUGUGUUGUGUCUUAUCACUGUAAAUAUGGCACAAACGUGUUUUUCUCCGUAGUGUAAAUAAUUGAAAGGCUGAAUUCUCCCUGUUUGAUUUCUUGCUUCAGUCUCGUGAUAAUUUCUCCAGCUGAUGUUGCCGGAUCAAAGAUGCAUUGUGGUUUUUGGUUUGCAGUCUGGAGAUACUUGCAUUGUGUUCAGUUUCUAAUAUGUUUUGAUUUGCUUUUUUAACUUGUUUUCAGGGUUCCUAGUUUGUGAGAAGUUGAUCUUCAGAAUUAUUUUUACACUAUUUAUGACUUAUUUUCAUAAUGUAAAAAGUGUGUAAUUAUUACAAUAUUAAUCCAAACAAUGGUAAUGAAUUGUAUUGUUAUAAAG